GGGGGGGGGCAGGAAGAUAGGCGGAGCCCUAGUUGCAAACGAGCAGGGCUCUGGGAGGCGGAGCGUGCCGCGGGACAUCCCUAGGAAGCACCUUCUAUAGGCCGCAAGUGACGGCAUGCUCCACUGGGCGCGAGCGUGGAGGGUCCCCCGUGGGAAGCUUGGUGCCUCCUCUCCCAGAUGCUCGGCGGUGCCCGGUGCCUUCAGUAGCAGCCACAGUAGUGGCCAAGGAAACGCCGAUCCGAGGCCGCUGCCGCUGUCCUAUAACCUUCUAGAUGGAGAGGCGACACUCCCGGCCAUCGUCUUUUUGCAUGGACUCUUUGGCAGUAAAACCAACUUCAACUCCAUUGCCAAGGCCAUGGUCCAGAGGACCGGCAGGAGGGUGUUGACAGUGGAUGCUCGGAACCACGGUGACAGUCCCCACAGUCCAGAUGCAAGCUACGAGGCCAUGAGUCAGGACCUUCAGGGCCUCCUGCCACAGCUGGGCCUGGUGCCCUGCGUCCUCGUUGGCCACAGCAUGGGAGGAAAGACAGCCAUGCUUCUGGCCCUGCAGAGGCCGGAUGUUGUGGAAAGAUUGGUCGCUGUGGACAUAAGCCCAGUGGGAACCACACCUGGAUCCUGCCUCGAAAGCUACAUAGCGGCCAUGAAAGCGGCUGAUCUCCCGGAGAAGGUGCGGCACUCCGAGGCCCGAAAACUGGUAGAUGAACAACUUAGCUCCACUGUCAAGGACCCAACCAUUCGGCGGUUCCUGCUCAAUAACCUUGUGGAGAUAGACGGGCAAUUCUCCUGGAGAGUGAACUUGGAUACUUUAGCUCAGUAUUUGGACAAGAUUUUGACCUUCCCACAGCAACUUGAAUCCUACUCAGGGCCAACUCUCUUUCUGCGUGGUGGGAAUUCUAGAUAUAUACAACCCAGCCACCACUCAGAGAUUAGGCGUCUCUUUCCUAAAGCCCAGAUUCAGACUGUGCCUAAUGCUGGCCACUGGGUCCACAGUGACAAACCCCAGGACUUCAUAGAUGCUCUCAGCAGCUUCUUGGCCUAAGAAGUGGCUCCUUGGAAGAGCAGACAGGGAACUCUGGGCUUGGCAUCCUUGUGACCUGUCCCCUGGCUUCUGCACAGAAAAACUCAGAGCCAGAAACAGAGCCAGCAAGGUGGCUAAGCAGGUAAGUGUGCCCGCUGCCGAUCCUAGAGACCGGAGUGUCACCCCUUGGGAUCCACAGGCUCCAGACAUGACACGUUAUGACAGUAGCUGUGCAAAGCAGAAGUGUAAACGAAGGGUCUGAACGAACUCUCACUCACAAGCCAAGGAAAUGGAACAGCCCUGCCCUUUAAUGCCCACACACUGUGGCUCAUGCAUGACUGCGUGUGCGCGUACACACACACACUAAUAAAGUUAAGUUACC
Molecule: RNA transcript, 1400 nt
Organism: Onychomys torridus (southern grasshopper mouse)
Lineage: Eukaryota; Metazoa; Chordata; Mammalia; Rodentia; Cricetidae
Gene: Abhd11
Gene name: abhydrolase domain containing 11
Exons: 7
Source: RefSeq, a predicted model, not a curated record